RNAcentral lists this ribosomal RNA (420 nucleotides) under bacterium. Its description in RNAcentral is "partial 16S ribosomal RNA". It matches the Rfam family "Bacterial small subunit ribosomal RNA", at positions 355 to 776 of the family's 1533-position model. The record is from RNAcentral.
UGGGGGAUAUUGCACAAUGGGCGAACGCCUGAUGCAGCGACGCCGCGUGGGGGAUGAAGGCUUUCGGGUUGUAAACCUCUUUCGCUAUCGAACAAGGCCCGCUUAGGGUGGGUUGAGGGUAGGUGGAGAAGAAGCGCCGGCUAACUACGUGCCAGCAGCCGCGGUAAUACGUAGGGCGCGAGCGUUGUCCGGAAUUAUUGGGCGUAAAGGGCUUGUAGGCGGCUUGUUGCGCCUGCUGUGAAAACGCGGGGCUUAACUUCGCGCGUGCAGUGGGUACGGGCAGGCUUGAGUGUGGUAGGGGUGACUGGAAUUCCAGGUGUAGCGGUGGAAUGCGCAGAUAUCUGGAGGAACACCGAUGGCGAAGGCAGGUCACUGGGCCAUUACUGACGCUGAGGAGCGAAAGCAUGGGUAGCGAACAGG